RNAcentral lists this ribosomal RNA (484 nucleotides) under uncultured bacterium. RNAcentral describes it as "partial 16S ribosomal RNA". It matches the Rfam family "Bacterial small subunit ribosomal RNA", at positions 30 to 507 of the family's 1533-position model. The record is from RNAcentral.
AUUGAACGCUGGCGGCAGGCCUAACACAUGCAAGUCGAGCGGAUGAGGGGAGCUUGCUCCUGGAUUCAGCGGCGGACGGGUGAGUAAUGCCUAUGAAUCUGCCUGGUAGUGGGGGAUAACGUCCGGAAACGGGCGCUAAUACCGCAUACGUCCUGAGGGAGAAAGUGGGGGAUCUUCGGACCUCACGCUAUCAGAUGAGCCUAGGUCGGAUUAGAUAGUUGGUGGGGUAAAGGCCUACCAAGGCGACGAUCCGUAACUGGUCUGAGAGGAUGAUCAGUCACACUAGAAGUGGGACACGGUCCAGACUCCUACGGGAGGGAGCAGACGGGAAUAUUGGACAGUGGGCGAAAGCAUGAUCCAGCCAGGCCGAGUGUGUGACGAAGGUCUUCGGAUUGUAAAGCACUUUAAGUUGGGAGAAAGGGCAGUAAGUUAAUACCUUGCUGUUUUGACGUUACCAACAGAAUAAGCACCGGCUAACUUCGUG